Long non-coding RNA from Sinocyclocheilus rhinocerous, 389 nucleotides. RefSeq lists it as uncharacterized. The record is from RefSeq and is a predicted model, not a curated record. The transcript has 5 exons. NCBI's taxonomy places the organism in Eukaryota, Metazoa, Chordata, Actinopteri, Cypriniformes, Cyprinidae.
AAUACAAGCAAGAAAACGGCAUUUCCACACUGGAGAGCAAGACGAGACAAGAGUGUUACGGGCGUGUUGAAUAUCUGAAAAUCUCAACAUGAGUGAUCCAAAACAACCACAGGAUUGCGGAGAUUCUGGUUCUGGCUCCGAGAGCUCAGGAGAUGAAGGUGGAAAGAAGCGUGGAAAGGGCCAAGGCAAAGGCAAAGGCAAAGGACAAGGUCAUGGACAAGGACACGGUCAUGGUCAAGGAGGUGAACAUGGGAAAAAAGGAUGUGAGCAACAAAAAGGAAAAAAGUGACAAGUUCAUAGCCUGAGGCCAGGGCAGUCCAUUUGUCCUCAUGACUCAACUGUUCAACUCCAUUUUGAACCCAAAAAAAUAAAUUAAAACACCCUGAAAC